AGCUACAGUCUAGAAUGCAGUCGAGCGGACAGAUGGGAGCUUGCUCCCUGAUGUUAGCGGCGGACGGGUGAGUAACACGUGGGUAACCUGCCUGUAAGACUGGGAUAACUCCGGGAAACCGGGGCUAAUACCGGAUGGUUGUUUGAACCGCAUGGUUCAAACAUAAAAGGUGGCUUCGGCUACCACUUACAGAUGGACCCGCGGCGCAUUAGCUAGUUGGUGAGGUAACGGCUCACCAAGGCAACGAUGCGUAUCCGACCUGAGAGGGUGAUCGGCCACACUGGGACUGAGACACGGCCCAGACUCCUACGGGAGGCAGCAGUAGGGAAUCUUCCGCAAUGGACGAAAGUCUGACGGAGCAACGCCGCGUGAGUGAUGAAGGUUUUCGGAUCG
RNAcentral lists this ribosomal RNA (393 nucleotides) under Bacillus tequilensis. Its description in RNAcentral is "bacterial SSU rRNA". It matches the Rfam family "Bacterial small subunit ribosomal RNA", at positions 45 to 425 of the family's 1533-position model. The record is from RNAcentral. Lineage: Bacteria; Bacillati; Bacillota; Bacilli; Caryophanales; Bacillaceae.